This 72-nucleotide transfer RNA is filed under the name Fukomys damarensis (Damara mole-rat). It matches the Rfam family "tRNA". Rfam says of the family: Transfer RNA (tRNA) molecules are approximately 80 nucleotides in length. Their secondary structure includes four short double-helical elements and three loops (D, anti-codon, and T loops). The record is from Rfam by way of RNAcentral. Lineage: Eukaryota; Metazoa; Chordata; Mammalia; Rodentia; Bathyergidae.
GCGUGUGUGGCUCAGAGGUAGAGCGCUAACCUAGCAUGUGCACAGCCCUGGGUUUGAACCCCAGCAUGCUCC